UGCAAUCAAUUUCAAUGCAAUUCUGCAGAAUCUCAGACCACAGUAGAUGCCAAAGAGACAACAUCAAUGACUAUACUGGAAAAAUUGAACCAGAACUUGGCAAAGAGUCUAAAACCAAGUAUGAAUGACACCAAGACUCUCAAAGCACAUUCAGUAUCGGUGAAACUAAUUAAGCAGAUUCAAGAAACAUGUUACUUCAUCCAAUGUUGCCACAGAAAUUGAGCUCAUUCAAUUGAAUGUCACGACUCUUAAUGAUUAACAUCAAAGACCAAACUUAACUCAUGACUUGACAAUUACAAAGGUUAAACUCAGAUUCAUAUGACAAGUCAAACAAACAACAUGACUAAGACAUUACAGAAAUUGAUUUAGAAAAUAAAAUGACUCAAAGCGAAUGAUUCACUGAAU
Molecule: long non-coding RNA, 405 nt
Filed under: Vigna radiata
Lineage: Eukaryota; Viridiplantae; Streptophyta; Magnoliopsida; Fabales; Fabaceae
Description: long non-coding RNA (VRAD_LNC002049)
Source: RNAcentral